Molecule: ribosomal RNA, 253 nt
Filed under: uncultured bacterium
Lineage: Bacteria
Description: partial 16S ribosomal RNA
Rfam family: Bacterial small subunit ribosomal RNA
Source: RNAcentral
UACGGAGGUCCCAAGCGUUGUUCGGAUUCACUGGGCGUAAAGGGUGCGUAGGCGGUCGGGUAAGUCUGAUGUGAAAUCUCACAGCUUAACUGUGAAACUGCAUUGGAUACUAUCCGGCUCGAGGAAUGGAGGGGAGACUGGAAUACUUGGUGUAGCAGUGAAAUGCGUAGAUAUCAAGUGGAACACCAGUGGCGAAGGCGAGUCUCUGGACAUUUCCUGACGCUGAGGCGCGAAAGCUAGGGGAGCAAACAGG